CCUACGGGUGGCAGCAGUGGGGAAUAUUGCGCAAUGGGCGAAAGCCUGACGCAGCGACGCCGCGUGAGGGAUGAAGGUCUUCGGAUCGUAAACCUCUGUCAGCAGGGAAGAACGGUCACUGUGCUAAUCAGCAGUGAAUUGACGGUACCUGCAAAGGAAGCACCGGCUAACUCCGUGCCAGCAGCCGCGGUAAUACGGAGGGUGCGAGCGUUAAUCGGUAUUACUGGGCGUAAAGCGCUCGUAGGCGGUAUGUCAAGUCAAGGGUGAAAUCCCCGCGCUCAACGUGGGAACUGCCUUUGAAACUGGCAAACUGGAGUGUGUGAGAGGAUAGUGGAAUUCCAGGUGUAGCAGUGAAAUGCGUAGAUAUCUGGAGGAACAUCAGUGGCGAAGGCGACUAUCUGGCACAUAACUGACGCUGAGGAGCGAAAGCGUGGGUAGCAAACAGGAUUAGAUACCCGUGUAGUC
Molecule: ribosomal RNA, 465 nt
Filed under: uncultured bacterium
Lineage: Bacteria
Description: partial 16S ribosomal RNA
Rfam family: Bacterial small subunit ribosomal RNA
Source: RNAcentral